Molecule: long non-coding RNA, 923 nt
Organism: Pipra filicauda (Wire-tailed manakin)
Lineage: Eukaryota; Metazoa; Chordata; Aves; Passeriformes; Pipridae
Exons: 3
Source: RefSeq, a predicted model, not a curated record
UGUGGUGCCGCGUCCCUGUCCCUUUCCCCUCGGGCCGUGGCAGCACGAUGCUCGCUGCUCUGUGCCUUUGUGGUGUGACAGGCCUGGAGUAAACACGUGUUCUACUUGUGCUCACCACAGCAGACAAGUUUAUUUUCUGCAACAGUUGAAGUGCAGAAGAAUAAGAAACUCCUGAGUCGUAACACACUUUGUUCAUCAAGCAACAAAGGAUAUCUCAUCCUGACAUCCAGCCUCUUUCCCAACCAGGAUCAUUGGGAAGCUGCUCUGGACCUGCCUCAGUCCAACCCUCUGAUAGCCACAUGCGCUACACAAUUCUUUCUGCUGGAGAGGCCCACAUGAAACCAUGCAGACAGACAAAUGGCAUCCCAGUUUCUCCUCAGCAACUGCUUCCUGGUUAACUCUAACCCUCAGGAAGCUGAUUGAUCUGAAUAUUAAAACCCGUCAGAACUUCCUAGUCUGUCUCAUACAGAAGAAAAACCUCUGUCUGGGAAAAGAUGCCAAAGUUGUUACCAUUACUUCUGAUUGUUUUCCAUGUCAUGUAUUUUUGUAUUUUCUGCUAUGUUGUAACAAGUUCUUUUCAAACAUGUGGACUGAUAAAGAAAUCACUGAUCAAUAACCCCAGUGAUAGUAAGUUUCCACACAAGGAUAUUGAAGAAAUGAAUUAAAAUUGAUGCCUACAAUUUCUGUUAAAAUUUCAUUUCUGAAAAAAAGAAGUAUUUGUAACUAGAUAAAUGUCUAGAUAAAUUUUGUUUGAUCAAAAGAUGCCUAUGGCAUAUUUCUAUACAAGUUGUAUUAUUUCUAAAAGUACCUUGAUGUUUGACUGAAGCACUGUGCCAGCUUCAGUGACGUUUCUGUUGUAUCUGUGCCUCUGUACUUAAUGUUGGAACAUUAAGAACACAAAACAUUAAAAUAUAAUGAUUUAA